UCCUACGGGAGGCAGCAGUAGGGAAUAUUGGGCAAUGGCCGAGAGGCUGACCCAGCCAUGCCGCGUGCAGGAAGAAGGCCUUCUGGGUUGUAAACUGCUUUUAUCGGGGAAGAAAACGCUCCUGCGGGAGUAACUGACGGUACCCGAUGAAUAAGCACCGGCUAACUCCGUGCCAGCAGCCGCGGUAAUACGGAGGGUGCAAGCGUUGUCCGGAUUUAUUGGGUUUAAAGGGUGUGUAGGCGGCUUGUUAAGUCAGCGGUGAAAUCCCAGGGCUCAACCCUGGAACUGCCGUUGAUACUGGCAAGCUUGAGUUCGGUCGAGGCGGGCGGAACUGGUGGUGUAGCGGUGAAAUGCAUAGAUACCACCAAGAACCCCGAUUGCGAAGGCAGCUCGCUGGGCCGAAACUGACGCUGAGGCACGAAAGCGUGGGGAGCGAACAGGAUUAGAUACCCUGGUAGUCCACGCCGUAAACGAUGAUGACUCGAUGUUUGCGAUACACAGUAAGCGUCCAAGCGAAAGCGUUAAGUCAUCCACCUGGGGAGUACGCCCGCAAGGGUGAAACUCAAAGGAAUUGACGGA
RNAcentral lists this ribosomal RNA (579 nucleotides) under uncultured bacterium. RNAcentral's name for it is "bacterial SSU rRNA". It matches the Rfam family "Bacterial small subunit ribosomal RNA", at positions 337 to 917 of the family's 1533-position model. The record is from RNAcentral.